AGCAGCAGCCGCGGUAAAACGUAGGUGGCAAGCGUUGUCCGGAAUUAUUGGGCGUAAAGGGCUCGCAGGCGGUUUCUUAAGUCUGAUGUGAAAGCCCCCGGCUCAACCGGGGAGGGACAUUGGAAACUGGGAAACUUGAGUGCAGAAGAGGAGAGUGGAAUUCCACGUGUAGCGGUGAAAUGCGUAGAGAUGUGGAGGAACACCAGUGGCGAAGGCGACUCUCUGGUCUGUAACUGACGCUGAGGAGCGAAAGCGUGGGGAGCGAACAGGAUUAGAUACCCCUGUAGUCCCUGUCUCUUAUAC
RNAcentral lists this ribosomal RNA (303 nucleotides) under uncultured bacterium. RNAcentral's name for it is "partial 16S ribosomal RNA". It matches the Rfam family "Bacterial small subunit ribosomal RNA", at positions 507 to 807 of the family's 1533-position model. The record is from RNAcentral.